This 381-nucleotide unclassified non-coding RNA is filed under the name uncultured bacterium. Its description in RNAcentral is "contains 16S-23S intergenic spacer region". The record is from RNAcentral.
UCCGGUUUGUCACCGGCAGUCUCCUUAGAGUUCCCAGCAUUACCUGAUGGCAACUAAGGACAAGGGUUGCGCUCGUUACGGGACUUAACCCAACAUCUCACGACACGAGCUGACGACAGCCAUGCAGCACCUGUGCAAGCUCCCCUUGCGGGGUCGUCCCACUUUCAUGGUUCUACCACUUGCAUGUCAAGGCCAGGUAAGGUUCUUCGCGUUGCAUCGAAUUAAGCCACAUACUCCACCGCUUGUGCGGGCCCCGUCAAUUCCUUUGAGUUUUAGCCUUGCGGCCGUACUCCCCAGGCGGGGUGCUUAAUGCGUUAGCGCCGGCACGGGAGGAGUCGACACCUCCCACACCUAAUGCCCAUCGUUUACGGCGUGGACUAC